AAUUUAGUAGCGAAGUUGCCGAUGUCACACUGCCGAGAAAAGCUUCUAGUGAGAAAUUAACUGCCCGUACCGCAAACCGACACAGGUAGUCGAGGAGAGUAUCCUAAGGUGAGCGAGAGAACUCUCGUUAAGGAACUCGGCAAAAUGACCCCGUAACUUCGGGAGAAGGGGUGCUGAUCGCAAGAUCAGCCGCAGUGAAAAGGCCCAGGCGACUGUUUAUCAAAAACACAGGUUUCUGCAAAAUCGUAAGAUGAAGUAUAGGGGCUGACGCCUGCCCGGUGCUGGAAGGUUAAAAGGAAGAGUUAGCAUUAUGCGAAGCCCUGAAUUGAAGCCCCAGUAAACGGCGGCCGUAACUAUAACGGUCCUAAGGUAGCGAAAUUCCUUGUCGGGUAAGUUCCGACCCGCACGAAAGGCGUAACGAUCUGGGCACUGUCUCAACGAGAGACUCGGUGAAAUUGAAUUGCCUGUGAAGAUGCAGGCUACCCGCGACAGGACGGAAAGACCCCGUGGAGCUUUACUGUAGCUUGAUAUUGAGUGUUUGUACUACUUGUACAGGAUAGGUAGGAGCCAUAGAUACCGGGACGCUAGUUUCGGUGGAGGCGUUGGUGGGAUACUACCCUUGUAUUAUGACCACUCUAACCCGCGCCACUAAUCGUGGUGGGAGACAGUGUCAGGUGGGCAGUUUGACUGGGGCGGUCGCCUCCCAAAAGGUAACGGAGGCGCCCAAAGGUUCGCUCAGAAUGGUUGGAAAUCAUUCGCAGAGUGUAAAGGCACAAGCGAGCUUGACUGCGAGACAGACAGGUCGAGCAGGGACGAAAGUCGGGCUUAGUGAUCCGGUGGUUCCGUAUGGAAGGGCCAUCGCUCAACGGAUAAAAGCUACCCCGGGGAUAACAGGCUUAUCUCCCCCAAGAGUUCACAUCGACGGGGAGGUUUGGCACCUCGAUGUCGGCUCAUCGCAUCCUGGGGCUGUAGUCGGUCCCAAGGGUUGGGCUGUUCGCCCAUUAAAGCGGUACGCGAGCUGGGUUCAGAACGUCGUGAGACAGUUCGGUCCCUAUCCGUCGCGGGCGUAGGAAAUUUGAGAGGAGCUGUCCUUAGUACGAGAGGACCGGGAUGGACAUACCUCUGGUGUACCAGUUGUUCCGCCAGGAGCACCGCUGGGUAGCUAUGUAUGGAUGAGAUAAACGCUGAAAGCAUCUAAGUGUGAAACUCGCCUCAAGAUGAGAUUUCCCAUUCCUUUAUGGAAGUAAGACCCCUCAGAGAUGAUGAGGUUGAUAGGAUGGAAGUGGAAGCGUGGUGACAUGUGGAGCGGACCAUUACUAAUCGGUCGAGGACUUAACC
Molecule: ribosomal RNA, 1338 nt
Filed under: Limosilactobacillus equigenerosi DSM 18793 = JCM 14505
Lineage: Bacteria; Bacillati; Bacillota; Bacilli; Lactobacillales; Lactobacillaceae
Description: bacterial LSU rRNA
Rfam family: Bacterial large subunit ribosomal RNA
Source: RNAcentral